Molecule: unclassified non-coding RNA, 381 nt
Filed under: soil metagenome
Description: partial contains 5.8S ribosomal RNA, internal transcribed spacer 2, and large subunit ribosomal RNA
Rfam family: 5.8S ribosomal RNA (bases 1-120)
Source: RNAcentral
GAUGAAGAACGCAGCGAAAUGCGAUAAGUAAUGUGAAUUGCAGAAUUCCGUGAAUCAUCGAAUCUUUGAACGCAAAUUGCACUCUCUGGCAUCCCGGAGAGUAUGCCUGUUUGAGGGUCAGUAUUAAUAAAAAUCGGUGCGUUGCGCUUUGUGACGUUCCGGAGUUUGAGUUAUCUUAACUUUUUUUAGGUUAAGAGGCUUAAAAUUGACCUUUUUUUGUGCAUUUUAGACGUACAUAAAUUUUCUUUUAUUUGUCUAUUAAUGCCAAAAUAUAUUAGAUGCGACCAUAUCGUGUGGUUCCGUAUCUAUAAAUUUUUCAUGAUUUGACCUCAAAUCAGGUAGGAGUACCCGCUGAACUUAAGCAUAUCAAUAAGCGGAGGA